Anguilla rostrata (American eel) is the source of this 1006-nucleotide long non-coding RNA. RefSeq lists it as uncharacterized. The transcript has 3 exons. The record is from RefSeq and is a predicted model, not a curated record. Lineage: Eukaryota; Metazoa; Chordata; Actinopteri; Anguilliformes; Anguillidae.
CAAAGAACAGGAAGAUAAGGUUACAGUGGGCAUGUCACCACCAAAACUGGACGACUGAAGAUUGGAUAAACAAUUCAGGCUGUUCUGGAGGCAACAGGGGGUCCUACCUGGAACUGGAUAGGUGUACCUAAUAACGUGGCUGCUCAACAUGACCUGCAUCACAUCUGCACAGAGAUGUAAUUCAGCGUUCCUGCACCAGAUUAAAAGGAUUGCUGUGCCCCACAGUUGGCUGAAUCCCACUGUACUCCCACAGUACCACUGAUCAGGCUUAGACUCACACUACGGGAGUGAAGACCCCUGUAAGGGCAUGCGGCAGACAGACAUCAGACAGCUCGUUACUGAAAUCAAUAUGCUGGGAAACUGCGGCCAGGGGACCUGGAAGCUGGCACACAGAGGGACAUCCCUUGCCGUAUGUUGCCAAAAACGAAGACAGAAAAACAUCAGCGCUGUAAGCGCACAGAAUCGUGUCACCACAUGAGAUUUGGCCUCUGAGACUCACUGCCAUGUACAUUUCAAAAUGUAUAUCAUAAGAAUGUAAUGCAUGUAUUCCCAGAGUCCACACCGGUACCAGGUAGACUUUAAAAAGUCUUGCUGGCAGUAUAAUGCAGCCAGUGCAACUGUUUCACUGUGCAGCACAGAGAACAUUUCAACCAGACAGGUCUUUUUCAGGUAAAACCUAACCUGACAAAGACAAAGAUCACCUUUAAAAGGGCUUCUUCACUGUCUGGGCUUUUUACACCCUUUAAAAAUGUCCACUUUAAAGCGAUUUGUGAAAACCUGAUCAUAUAUGGCACCUUAUGAAAUAAAGACUUAUUUAGCGGUCAACCUGGUCAAAAGCUUGUCUGGGCCAUGUAGUGAAGAGUAUUACAUUGCACUGUGUUUUUUCUGUUCUAUUUUCUGUUUUAACUCCCACACCCAGCAGGCACGCACACAUGUGUACACACACACACACGCACACUGUAAAAAUUAUUCAAUUUCAUGUAAGGCCUUUGAAAUGGAGCUUACA